GGAGGAUCCAGGUCAACACAGAGGUCAACCUACUAGUGCUGUAGGAGGAGGAUCCAGGUCAACACAGAGGUCAACCUACUAGUGCUGUAGGAGGAGGAUCCAGGUCAACACAGAGGUCAACCUACUAGUGCUGUAGGAGGAGGAUCCAGGUCAACACAGAGGUCAACCUACUAGUGCUGUAGGAGGAGGAUCCAGGUCAACACAGAGGUCAACCUACUAGUGCUGUAGGAGGAGGAUCCAGGUCAACACAGAGGUCAACCUACUAGUGCUGUAGGAGGAGGAUCCAGGUCAACACAGAGGUCAACCUACUAGUGCUGUAGGAGGAGGAUCCAGGUCAACACAGAGGUCAACCUACUAGUGCUGUAGGAGGAGGAUCCAGG
Long non-coding RNA from Oncorhynchus keta (chum salmon), 380 nucleotides. RefSeq lists it as uncharacterized. Lineage: Eukaryota; Metazoa; Chordata; Actinopteri; Salmoniformes; Salmonidae. The record is from RefSeq and is a predicted model, not a curated record. The transcript is spliced from 3 exons.